CCCUACUUUGCCAAAUAGUAACGUUCUUUGAAAUAGAUUCAAUAAAAGCUGAUCAUGUGAGCAGCAAUCAUCAAGGAAAUCUUUUGAAAUUUGUAAGGCUUUCUGGAUAGUUAUGCAUUCAGCUUCAUUUGAUUAUACUCAAGAAGCAUCAACAUUCCAUCUAAGCUAAGAUAAGGACGGAGUGUUCACUGUUUGAUUUUCACUGUUGGAGAGUCUUGUUUCAGCAACUUUUUUCCAGUCAUCUGAAGUUGAUCUCAAGGAGGAUAAUCUGUAAUCUAUGAGCCCAAAGACCUUAUUCUAGAUCUUCAGUUUCUGUCUCAAAAAAGUUAGGGAGCGAUCCAUGGUGCUAUGAAAUUCAGACCAAAGGCUUCUUGACCACAUCAAUAAAACCAGGCAAGAUCCACAAAGCGUCUAAGAAACGCAUAAGUUUCGGCCCAUUAAGAUCAGUUGUAUUCAGAAGAAUUAAAACCACUGAAACAACACAAAAGCUUUGUCAAUCUUGCUCAUUGAUGUUCCAUUUCGCUAGGUGUAUCGUUUGCUAAUGAGUGUAACUUCUAUCAUCUCUAAAGAAAUAAUAAAAGAUCGAAAAUUUGUCAUCCCUGUUAUUGAGAAAUAUAUGAUUUUUCUCUCUGUUAGAUUGAGCACCUAGUUAAAGUCACCCAUUAAAAUAACAGGUUCAUUUAUAUUGCUAAGUACAUUUUUAAUUCUUCCCACAAAGCCAUCAGACCUCAUUCUAGAUCAUUGCUAUGCCACCAGAUUGACCCAUGGAGCUAACAAAGAACCAAUCUAAAAUGUCCAUACCCCAUAAAUUCCUAACAAAGGGAAAGAGACCAGUUCACUUAUACUUUCAACGAUGGCUACACACUCCACUCUGAAUUACUGUAUGAGAUCCUUUAAAAAUAUUUUUUUUUACACGAUCCUCCAAUUCCCUAAUAGAUCUAUGAAAAGCAAGCUACCUAAAGAUCAAACAAAUUGGAGCAAACAGAAAUGACGCAAACACCUGUGCUGAAAGAAACUAGAAAAAAUAAAAAAAAUCAAAGCUAGAAAAGACUUAUCAUGUAUUUUAGCAGAGCUCCAUAUCCUUGGAAAUAUGGUCAGCCAGGUAUUGAAUCAGGUUUCUAUCAUCACCCCCUCUAAAAACUAAACUGAGUUCUCUUCCCAACUUCACAGUGAGGGUUGCUUCUUUUUCAGGUAAAACUGGCAAGAGGUCUGAGAUUUCUGAGCUUGAUUUUCUACGAGUUGUUUACGCAGAACUUGAUUUCUCCUUCUGAUAUCACUGUCUGAAGCAAAGCAGAGAGGGGAGUUUCCUCCUUUAAUUUUCGAUUUUAGUUUCCCACUGAACGCCACUUUUGGAUAUAAAUCCCAUAAAUCUACUGUUAACCUUUUGGUUCUUUUUUGUUUCAAAAUGCGAUUUACUUUGAAGUGAGAAAGGGGCAGAUUACUGGCGUUUUUGUGAAAUUAGGGAUGAGAGAAAAAGACAAGAAUUAUUUAUUGAUUUAGAGUUGAAUUGCUUAGUAGUGGCUGAAAAAAGGGUUUCGCGCUGAUUUGAUAAGUGCAAGAGACACCAUUUAAAAUGGAGUCAGCAAUUAUGUUUUUUUUAUUAAG
This 1605-nucleotide long non-coding RNA is filed under the name Manihot esculenta (cassava). RNAcentral's name for it is "long non-coding RNA (MESC_LNC003997)". Lineage: Eukaryota; Viridiplantae; Streptophyta; Magnoliopsida; Malpighiales; Euphorbiaceae. The record is from RNAcentral.